CACUGAUGCUGGCCAAGUGACAUUAGUGAAAUGUUAUUAAUGAAAUACUUUUAGUACAAAAGUACUUGCUGAAUGAUGAAGCUCUUCACACUAAGGCCUUUUCCUCUUCCCUAAGGACAUACUGAAUUCAUUUAUACAGCAAAGGAAGAAGUAAAAUUGUUUUGCAGAACCAACACAUGGCAAAUAAGCACAGAGUCUGACAACAGCAUUGAUGUGACUUGCACAGUGGAGUGUGUUCAUGGUGAACCACUCAAACUUAAUAAUACCCUGAAGCCCUGCUCAAAUAAACAUUCAGACAAAGUUGGUGAAAAAUGUCCGCUAAUAGCAAGCAGUGGAUUUUUUCGAUGUGUUACUGCUCUGGAUUCUGGUUUCUUGUUUCCAUUCAAACCGUCUCCCAACACUGUCACCUCAUACAUAGUCGCUACUGCAAAUGAAGAAAUGACAACCAAGUCUGAGGAAAGAUCUUCAGUCGAGCUAACUGAAGGUGAAGAAAUACUUUUAAACUGCAGUGUCAUCUUUACAGAAGAAUAUAACAGCAGGGAUUUUGUCGUGUACUGGAUCAAGACCAUUGAAAAGAACAGUAACUGUGUGUAUUCUUAUGAUUUUGACCUUACUGCUAAUAAAGUACAAUCACCACUGCAAUGUGCAAGAAGAACUGCUUUCCAGGAUCUCAAACCAAAACGAAGGCAGAAACAUCCAUAACAUCAGGAUCAGUAAUGUAACAGAGUCAGAUGCUGGACAGUAUCUUUGUGCCUUACAAAUGCACACAAAUAAUAAAACAAAAGGAAUCUGGAAGAUCAUAAAUAAUAUUACAGUCAGUGUACAUAAAGACAAAGCAUCUGAAAUAGCUGCAAACAGCGCUGGUGAGUUUCAACUGCAUUUGGCUAUACGUGUGUGUGUGUGUGUGUGUGUGUGUGUAUUUAGGGGAUGGAAAGGAAUAGAUUUAAGAACCCAGCAUGACGUUGUAGACUAUUUUUCCAUAAAAAAUUGUGUGUGUGUGUGUGCGCCUUCAGUCAUUUCUCCGUAUCUACGUUUUAAUUAAUGUUUAUACACAGUUUUCAUCGCCUUAUAUGCUACAAUUCCCAUAUUACUGGCUCUUGCCCUAGUUACUGUGGGGUUUAUCUAGAAAAAGAUUAAAAUCUCACCAGGUAAGAAUCUUGUGAAACUACAUAGCCAUUUAAUCAGAUGCUAAUACCUAUACUUAACAAAGCCAAAUUCAUUUUUUUUACAGGAUCUCAGGCAAUAGAGCUACACAGGUAAGCAAUGGCAUUCAUAACCAUGUGUUUUGAGUGAACAUGACCUCUUCUAUUACCUCUGUUGUAACUUAUUCCUGCUUCAUCAUGUUUUCUCCAACCAGCAGAAACCAAAAUGGGGAUGAUACGGAAGAAACUGCUGAUAUGGAAUGUUCUCCGUAUGCUGUGGGGAGUGGAGAAGAGGAGAUUAAGUUCAGAUCCAAGCAGGAUACUUUAAAGCAGGAAGACCAAGAAAAAUCCACAGACGUCUAUUCAGAUGUGAUAUAGAAUGACUUGUAUGAACCCGGGGCAUGAGAGGACACUGUAACAUUUAUGCCAAAAAGGAUUUUUGAAGGUGUUUACAUGCAUGUGACUUUUUUCUUUACUGGCCUAAAACUGAACACAUUUUACUGAAGUGAAAAUGGUUUUGAUGUUGAUAGCAUGUGUGGAUUACAGUCUAGCAAGCAAAAGUCAGUACAGAAGUUUUAGGCAUAAGAUCACUGUGAUCCACCAGAAUGAUCUUAUAAGUAUUCUUUCAUCUGGUGGUCUUCCAUCUGGUCUAGCACU
Pangasianodon hypophthalmus (striped catfish) is the source of this 1799-nucleotide long non-coding RNA. RefSeq lists it as uncharacterized. Lineage: Eukaryota; Metazoa; Chordata; Actinopteri; Siluriformes; Pangasiidae. The record is from RefSeq and is a predicted model, not a curated record. The transcript is spliced from 3 exons.